UCUUCAAUCACUGUGUCUUGAGGAUCUGGGUCGUAAUGAAUUUCGGUUGCAGAGGUAACAGUGCUCAAAGUUGUAUGUUCGAUUUGGGUUUGAACGUUCUUAGCAAGAUCCAUAUUAGCUGCUAUCCAGGGCAUAAGAUAAAUAGUUAAAGAAGGGGUCUUAAUAUUUUUAGCGACAUUCAAAAUUUCUUUCAAACGAGGAACACCCAAGGUAACGUUCUUAGAAGAAACACCAGCGUAAUGGAAUGUAUUGAGUGUCAUUUGAGUUGCUGGUUCUCCAAUAGAUUGUGCAGCCAGAGUACCCACCAUUUCUCCAGGACUUACGACAGCUUGUUGGAAACGAGCUUCCACUUCACCCAUAAUCCAUUCAAAUGCGACUUUGUUAAGUCGGUAUUCCAUUAUUACCCGUUUUACAGCAAAUUUGGACCUUAAUAAAAUCUGGAAUAACAAGGUAGCGUUGUUUUGAACAUCACGAGUAAUACGGUCACUUCCGCGGAAAAUUGUUAAUU
This is a non-coding RNA of Schizosaccharomyces pombe (fission yeast), 508 nucleotides long. NCBI's taxonomy places the organism in Eukaryota, Fungi, Ascomycota, Schizosaccharomycetes, Schizosaccharomycetales, Schizosaccharomycetaceae. The record is from the annotation of a GenBank genome assembly.